AGACAAUCGCUGAGUGAUCAGAGGAAAGUCCAUGCUCGCACAUUCUGAGAUGAAUGUAGUGUUUAUGCCAGGUCAAACAAUAAGCCUGGGCAGUGCAAACUGAUGGCUGGUGAUAUUCCUAAGGAGCAAUCUAUGGAAUUAACCUGUAAAAGUGUCAAAGAGACGAGCUUAAUGGAAACAUUAAGGUGGAACGCGAUAAACCCCAUAAGCGAGAAACCCAAAUUAUGGUAGGGGAACCUGCAAUAGUGAAAUGAAACGAUUUGCGGGGCACUUAUAGUGCAGAUAAAUGAUUGUCCUAGACAGAACAUGGCUUACUG
RNAcentral lists this RNase P RNA (317 nucleotides) under bovine gut metagenome. Its description in RNAcentral is "Bacterial RNase P class B". It matches the Rfam family "Bacterial RNase P class B". From Rfam's summary of the family: Ribonuclease P (RNase P) is a ubiquitous endoribonuclease, found in archaea, bacteria and eukarya as well as chloroplasts and mitochondria. Its best characterised activity is the generation of mature 5'-ends of tRNAs by cleaving the 5'-leader elements of precursor-tRNAs. Cellular RNase Ps are ribonucleoproteins. The record is from RNAcentral.